AGGGAAAAAGGAAAAAAAAAAAAAAAAGGAGGAAAAAAGGAGGAAAAAAAAAAAAACAAAAAAAAAAAAGGAAAACCUUCACUACACGAACCGUCGAGCAGUAUUCAGAGCGAGUAUUUGUCGUGAACUGUAGAAUAUAUCAACUGCUAACACUAUUCUUGUGUUCUGGUUGUACAGCUUCAAACGUCCGUCUCUUAAUUUAGGGGGCAGCGCCUUGCAGCACCCCCCCACCCCCCCCCGCCCUGAGGAGGAAUAUUAACCCCAAAGGAGCUGGUCCUCACUGCGUGGAGCCGGAGGAGCUGCCCGUCCCGGUCAGGCAAGGGUUGUGGCACAGGGGGGGGCGGGGGGCACGCGCUGCCCCUGGCGAUGGCUUUGCUUUUUGUCUUUCAGACGUACAUAUGCAUAUACAGUCCUGUUUUAGAUGUUCUUCUAAGGAAACCGGUUUUUAAUGUGCCAAGUUGUAUAUAUCUUGCUGCGUGGAUGUAAAGCAAUACGACCGGUGUGUCACCAGGAUCGCUGUUUUAAGACCAGGAAGCACUACAUUACUGCAAAUAGAUAUGAACUCUUAGUCUGCAUGGGUGUAGGCUGUGUGAUUGCUGAAAAUAAAUGCUGCUAAUAUAUUUCCUUUUUACAAAGCAUAUCUAAAUAGAUCAUUGUUUUGAUGUUAAUCUUUGUAAAUUAUGUAUUACCAAUUUUAACAUUGGAUGUAAUUGCAUAAAAAAAAAAAGGAAAAAAAAAAAAAGGCCUGCAAUCUCAAUCCUGAGAGAGUCUAGUAUUAAAUGGAAAAAUCUUUUCCUACCGCUGACUUCGUGGGGUGUUCUUUGGCACGGCCCCGCUCCGCCUGCGUCGCCUCCCCCCUCCCCCCCAUCCUUGCACCGUGUCCCAUCUGAACGGGGUCUCAUUAACGGGGUCUCAUUAACGGGGUCUCAUUAACGGGUUCUCUCUUUCAGAUCCUGGUCUGCUGGGUGAGCUCAGCCCCCGGGCACGAUUGGGCAGCGUCGGUAGGGACUGAGAGCUGGGGAGCGCAGGUUGGUACACGGAGCACGGCAGCCCCCAGCACCACGCGUCUCAGCACAGGGCUUAGGGCAGAGAUGUCACACGCACCCAAAGCAAUGCCCCCCUCCACCCCCCAUCACCAAACGAAUCCUCAGAGGGGCUGGGAGCACCGGCCUCAUGCUCCCUGAACGAGCAGCAGAGCGAUGGGGAUGGGUGAUGCCGCGUCCCUUCCGCCCCGCUCCUCCCAGGGCCGUGCUCUCAAAUCCUCCCCUCGGGUUCCAGCUUCCUCUGGUUCCGAAGUAAUUUCUGGCAACCCAUGGGGUUUUCUGCCGAUGUGGUAGCACGUCGAGGACCCGUUUUGAUGGAAAUCAGUUUUUCUUUCCCUUUCCUGGCCUGUGGCAUCAUGAAAAUGCCACGCUGGUCCCGUACCCUUGCAUGGUCUCUUUUUAAAGUAGAGGUUCCGUGCCACGGAUCGUAGUGCUUUAAAAAAA
RNAcentral lists this long non-coding RNA (1487 nucleotides) under Numida meleagris (helmeted guineafowl). RNAcentral's name for it is "lncRNA (ENSNMEG00000006435.1)". Lineage: Eukaryota; Metazoa; Chordata; Aves; Galliformes; Numididae. The record is from RNAcentral.